RNAcentral lists this ribosomal RNA (395 nucleotides) under uncultured bacterium. Its description in RNAcentral is "partial 16S ribosomal RNA". It matches the Rfam family "Bacterial small subunit ribosomal RNA", at positions 523 to 918 of the family's 1533-position model. The record is from RNAcentral.
AUACGUAGGGUGCAAGCGUUAAUCGGAAUUACUGGGCGUAAAGCGUGCGCAGGCGGUUUUGUAAGACAGAGGUGAAAUCCCCGGGCUCAACCUGGGAACUGCCUUUGUGACUGCAAGGCUAGAGGACGGCCGAGGGGGAUGGAAUUCCGCGUGUAGCAGUGAAAUGCGUAGAUAUGCGGAGGAACACCGAUGGCGAAGGCAAUCCCCUGGGCCUGUACUGACGCUCAUGCACGAAAGCGUGGGGAGCAAACAGGAUUAGAUACCCUGGUAGUCCACGCCCUAAACGAUGUCAACUGGUUGUUGGGUCUUCAUUGACUCAGUAACGAAGUUAACGCGUGAAGUUGACCGCCUGGGGAGUACGGCCGCAAGGUUGAAACUCAAAUGAAUUGACGGGG